GCCCCACUAGUCUAGUGGUAGCGACGCCAGGUUCUCACCCUGGAAGCGAGAGUUCGAUCCUCUCGUGGGGCGC
RNAcentral lists this transfer RNA (73 nucleotides) under Streptomyces phage RetrieverFever. RNAcentral describes it as "tRNA-Glu". It matches the Rfam family "tRNA". Rfam says of the family: Transfer RNA (tRNA) molecules are approximately 80 nucleotides in length. Their secondary structure includes four short double-helical elements and three loops (D, anti-codon, and T loops). The record is from RNAcentral. Lineage: Duplodnaviria; Heunggongvirae; Uroviricota; Caudoviricetes.